Molecule: ribosomal RNA, 253 nt
Filed under: uncultured bacterium
Lineage: Bacteria
Description: partial 16S ribosomal RNA
Rfam family: Bacterial small subunit ribosomal RNA
Source: RNAcentral
UACGAAGGGGGCUAGCGUUGCUCGGAAUCACUGGGCGUACAGGGAGCGUAGGCGGUUGGAUAAGCCCUCCGUGAAAUCUCCAGGCUUAACCUGGAAAGUGCAGAGGGGACUGUUCAGCUAGAGGAUGGGAGAGGAGCGCGGAAUUCCCGGUGUAGCGGUGAAAUGCGUAGAGAUCGGGAGGAAGGCCGGUGGCGAAGGCGGCGCUCUGGAACAUUUCUGACGCUGAGGCUCGAAAGCGUGGGGAGCAAACAGG